AGAAGAACAAAUUUAGGAAAAUUUAUUUUUAUAAUCUUGGGAUGGGGUAAGAGAGAUGUAUUUUCAUUUGGAAAUAACUGUAACUAAAGAGAAAGGCUCUAAAAUAGAAAAAAUGAAGUAUUUUUUUAAACAUGAGCAAUUUUCUAAUUGUGGCAAAUGCUGACAAAUGAAGAGCGGAAAACAGCACAGAAAUUGCUACUUGGAAGACGGGAGAAGCACACUAAUUGCAAUACCCGAUCAUCUCAUGGCUGAGUCUGUGACGACACGAAGAGACACCUGUAUCCUCAGAUCUGGAUGCAUAUGAGCUUUACUGGGAGAGAUUUCACUAAAUGUUCAUGCCUUGGCCCCAUCCUGAGAGGUUGGGUUUCUUUGGUCUUCGGAGGGAAUAUUAAUAUUUCAUUAAUUUUUCCCUAGGAAAAUUAACACC
Molecule: long non-coding RNA, 427 nt
Filed under: Fukomys damarensis (Damara mole-rat)
Lineage: Eukaryota; Metazoa; Chordata; Mammalia; Rodentia; Bathyergidae
Description: lncRNA (ENSFDAG00000022031.1)
Source: RNAcentral